GUUUGAUCAUGGCUCAGAUUGAACGCUGGCGGAAUGCUUUACACAUGCAAGUCGAACGGCAGCACGGGAGCUUGCUCCUGGUGGCGAGUGGCGAACGGGUGAGUAAUGCGUCGGAACGUACCGAGUAAUGGGGGAUAACGCAGCGAAAGUUGUGCUAAUACCGCAUACGCCCUGAGGGGGAAAGUGGGGGAUCGUAAGACCUCACGUUAUUCGAGCGGCCGACGUCUGAUUAGCUAGUUGGUGGGGUAAAGGCCUACCAAGGCGACGAUCAGUAGCGGGUCUGAGAGGAUGAUCCGCCACACUGGGACUGAGACACGGCCCAGACUCCUACGGGAGGCAGCAGUGGGGAAUUUUGGACAAUGGGGGCAACCCUGAUCCAGCCAUUCCGCGUGAGUGAAGAAGGCCUUCGGGUUGUAAAGCUCUUUUAGCUGGAACGAAACGGUACGCGCUAACAUCGUGUGCUAAUGACGGUACCAGCAGAAGAAGCACCGGCUAACUACGUGCCAGCAGCCGCGGUAAUACGUAGGGUGCGAGCGUUAAUCGGAAUUACUGGGCGUAAAGCGUGCGCAGGCGGAUUGUUAAGCAAGAUGUGAAAUCCCCGGGCUUAACCUGGGAAUGGCAUUUUGAACUGGCAGUCUAGAGUGCGUCAGAGGGGGGUGGAAUUCCACGUGUAGCAGUGAAAUGCGUAGAGAUGUGGAGGAACACCGAUGGCGAAGGCAGCCCCCUGAGAUGACGCUGACGCUCAUGUACGAAAGCGUGGGUAGCAAACAGGAUUAGAUACCCUGGUAGUCCACGCCCUAAACGAUGUCAACUGGUUGUUGGGGGAGUGAAAUCCCUUAGUAACGAAGCUAACGCGUGAAGUUGACCGCCUGGGGAGUAC
RNAcentral lists this ribosomal RNA (880 nucleotides) under uncultured bacterium. Its description in RNAcentral is "bacterial SSU rRNA". It matches the Rfam family "Bacterial small subunit ribosomal RNA", at positions 11 to 883 of the family's 1533-position model. The record is from RNAcentral.